AUCUAGUUGGCAGUCAACUGGGUGGCAAGGUUCUGCUUAAUAUAACAAAAGUACAGACAUUUUGAAACAAAGGGACCUCCAAGACUGUUUUAUUCCACCUCUUUAUCUUCAAUUUAGUAAGAAAAGUAAGCAGCACAGGUACAAGAUGUCCAGUUGCGUGUAGUCCCUUCCUUAAGUAUCUGUAGCCGACCAUCAGAUAAUCGUUUUGCCCAGGACUUUUUUGAGAACAUGGUAGCCUGUAUCCCAGCUGAAUUAGCUGCUAUUCAGGGAUUUCCUCCCUCAGUCAAAGCUGGCUACUAUGGCACAUGUCAAGAAACAAUACUAUUGUCUUUUGUUUUUUAAGAAAGACAAAGGUAGAUACAAGAGCACCAGAGUGGUUUUUUGUUUGUUUAAUUGUUUGAGGACAUGUGACAAUUUGUAGGGAUAUAAGUAAAAAGAUGACUGUACCUGGAUAUGUUCAGUUAUUUUAAUGAAGAAUGAGAAAUAAGUAGGAUGAUUUCAGUCUCCCAGGCAUUAGUCUGAAUGAAGCUCUGGGGCAGCUUUACUCUUAAAGCU
This 555-nucleotide long non-coding RNA is filed under the name Bos taurus (domestic cattle). Its description in RNAcentral is "long non-coding RNA NONBTAT011564". The record is from RNAcentral. Lineage: Eukaryota; Metazoa; Chordata; Mammalia; Artiodactyla; Bovidae.